AUCGAACCUUCCGUUUCUUUAAUCACGUCGCCGAUUCGCUAUUCCUCUUCAAAUAUUGUUUCGCCUUAAUUACUAAGCAGAAUAACCCUCGACAAGGGUUCGACACCAAUUGGCGUCUGAAUUCUCUUCGUUCGACGACGAGUCUCGAAAAGCAAUUCCUGUUUUAUAAGGAAAGAGAAAUUUACAAUUUCCCAUGCGUUCGGCAUCUGGGAUUUAUUGUUUCCUGUAUUGGCCUUCGGCAAUUUGGAGUCUCGUCAUUUUUUAAGCACUUGGAAAUGCUCAAAAGGCGAAAAGCUCGUUUCUGAUAACGAAUACAUUUGGGGCUUCGAAGAACUGUGCACUUAUCGAGAUUGACUGAAUUGCUAGACGCUCGUAACAAAUAUUCAAAUUUCCAUGUUAAAGUUUUCAUGCAUCCUCAUCUGAGAGCGAUGAAAAGUCUCCCUUAAAAGCUUUAUUCCCAUCGCCAUCUUAGCACCGCAGUAGAAACAGUUCGGUGUGUUUUGAAACAAUGAUAAAACGCGGCGAGUCCCGCCUAAAAAGAAUAUUUUUAAUUUUUGUGAAAUUGCUCACAGACUCUGUUAUUCUGGAAGUCGAUCAUUGAAAUUCAACUUCGAUAACGGAAUUGACGUUUUCAUUGAAAAUUGACGAAACCCCAAACAGAAAUUCUUCACCCUUCCUAUCAAUGGGACUUUGUUAGAAUAGUCUUUAGCACGAUGCCGAUGUUGGAGGAUCGAGUUUGCACGAAUGUUAAAAGGAUACGUUGCGAGAGAAGUGGGAAUGGCAGGACACCCCGCGAGGGUGCCGCAAAACUUCGCGAGUCCCGUUGAAAACAGUGGCUAAUGAAAGCACGAAAUCAGAUUUCAUUAAUGCCGACGAAUCGUACACGUGCGAUAAGGCCACUCGGGAAAGCUCAAACAAAGAGGAAGAAAAGGGAAUCAGGAUUUCUGAGCUUUGUGUUGCGACUUCAAAAGAAAGGGCCAUGCAAGAUCGGGUAAAAAGGCCCGUUAGAAAAGAAAGAGAAAUCGAUAAGGUACGAGAGGAGCAAGCAAGAAUGGACAUUCGCCAAAUUCCUUCAAUUUAAUUGGAAACAUCAAAGUAACGGCUCGGACACAUAGCUCUCGAAGGGAAAGAAUAAUGAAGUAGAAAAAUAGUUGUGCGUUAAAAGUCUACGCCUGCUGGGAUAUUUCAAUUGGAUAAAAAUUCGAUGGAAAAGAACAAAGAGCAUCUAGUUUUCGUCGGUGGAUUUGGUCGCGACUGAAAACGAAUAAUAUCAUGCAAUUUGACAGCUCAUCAAAAAGUGUGACAAGCCAACUUUUUAGCCUGAUAAAAAAUACCCAAAAUUAUUAUUUUCCAGCGUUAUUCGCUGCACUGCAAAGUAAUAAAUCGAAUAAAAACAUCAUGGCGAUAUUACAAUUGGUGUUGAGCGGUUGGUGCUUCCGACGAUAGGUUCGCUAGUCGCAUACUCGUCGGUAAAAGCGGAUAUUCACAGGAAAAACGCGAGGAACCGAUAAUCCUAAAUAGCUCUACACUUCAAACAAAAGUAGAAUAUCUUCUGGAUUACCGCCAUCGAUCGGCGGAGCGGUGGUAGCUGAGCUUUUUAGCAACCGAGAAUAAACGUCUCCCGAUCGACGGCAUCUGCAGCGGGACUUGAACUUAUAAUUGGACUUUAGUAAAAGUGCACUUUGGUUGAGGAACGAAGAUCCUACCUGAGUUCGGGUACGCUCGUUCUUCACUGCCAGACAAAUGAAAAUUGUGGUAUUGACGUUUAAGAAUGUUGUUUAAAAUUCAGAAGAGGGAAGCUGCAUCUGCAAUGUUUGUUCGAUGAUUUUGCCUAUGAUCGCAAGGAUCCUUGCCAAUUGUUCGAGUACAGAUCGGUAAAAUGGAUAUAUUCGACAAUGGAAAAGCGUUUGGAGGUGCUAAUUGGGCUGGGGUUGAAUUUGACACGUUUCCACGAAGAAUUGUUCUUAUGAUGGGUUCCAAGUUGGACGCCGAGGUACGGACAAAAGGACGAAAAACAGCGAAACGUCCGGUAAUCGACGCAUGCGCUGCAACAGUCGAAUAGCUGUAUACAUGUGGAAAAGAAAAGAAGGAGGACUGAUGGCGUUGAAGUAAGACGGGGAUAAAGUAGAAGGGAGACGAAAACGUAGUGGGGGAUGUAAAUGCCCUUGUGAUGUAUCGGAUCGAUGCCGCAGCAUCUGGACCUUCGUUCUUACUACUGCACGACCUAAAAAUGUCCGUCUUAUGCCCACUUAAAAAUCGACACUUCUUUUUCACGCUCCCAAUAAUCGUUCGCUAGAUGAAUAAUGAAUUUUGCGGUAAGGUCGAAACAGCUGAUAAUCGAAUAACUGAGAGUGAGAGGGUCCGACAAAAACUGGUGGUAUUCCGUUUAAUUAAAGGAGCAAUCGAAUGAAAAAUGACGAGCAACAUUCCAUGUUGAUUAUCCAGCUCAAUAAAAUGAAUGAAUCUAAAAAAGUAGCGCGUAUAUGCGCGCGGCGGCUGAAAGAAAUUGGUCUUAAUAACACAUGCGAGCAUGACGAGUCGUGCGGAGUGGCGAGGAAAGCUUUACCGAAAUAGUUGAGAAGUAAAACGAGUCGUAGUAGAUCGGGAGCGAGAGGAUGGCGGAUUGGAAAAAAGCGCGACGAUAAGAAGUGGAAACCACUGGAAGCACAUCAGCCCCGUGACAGCGCCAACUUCUUCUCCAACAUCUUAAAUUUUUGUCUUCCACCACCCAUUAAUCCACUGUUAACAAGCUAGAGAAGCAGGAACCUCUCAGAGGAACACGAUUCGCACACCAGGGGUUGAUAGUCAGAGCUCACAGUCAUGGUGACUCUGCGUCAGCCAACUUCGAAACUUACUGCCUCGGGCCACGUUGACGGCCCGGUGACUUUAGAAUUUUCAAAAGGACAUCGGUGCUCAUUCCCGGAAACAAUAACAUACGUCGGAAUGACAUGUUCGAUAAUGGUCAGCCAAGCGGAAGGUCUGAGAGGGAAACAAAGAGCUCGAUGGAGAAAAGAAAUGAUAAUGGAGCGACAAAAAACGCGAUUGUCGUUGAACCAAGUUGAAGAACCAUGUCUGUUGACAGACCAGAUUAGGUCUACCAGAAAUUGAAAUUAUUGACCACUGCUCUAGGUUCUGUGAUUACAAGAUCCGAGAAAUCAGGAGAUCAAACGGUGGAAAGGAUAUAAGAGCAGAAUUUCGAGGCUCCGAAUCUUAGUGCAACCACAAAAAUGGAACCUCGAGUUUGCAGUCUGAGCAAACUGAUCGAAAUCGCUAAAAAAUUGAACCUGCCAAAUGGCUGUGGAACAAUUCCGUGACGGUUGCAUUGGAGUUGCCGUUUAUUGAAUCAUCGACGGAUUGAAAAUUCAAGGAAAUCGACUUCCGAUCUCAAUAACGCGGGCACGUGGAUCGCAGUGCACCAUUUCUCAUGGUUGCGGGCCAAUUUUGGAUGAGAAACUUUGACAAGCUCAAAUUUCCCAAGGAUUUUAGCAGCCUCGUAUUCGCGACGAUCUUCACUCGUCGUUGCUGGUCAGACCGGCCUCCGCGAGCUCCGACUCGACUAAGGUAGGGUCGACUAAGACGACCAGUCAAACAGCAAAGAGAAGUUGUCAGUGAAACUUCAUGGCCGCGGCACAAGCUCGGCGACAAUCUCGGCAGCGAUUCGUUGCUAUUCCGGGCAUUUUUACGAGAACGCCUUUUAUUCAGUAGCGGUAAAAAUGCCGGGUAUCAGUUGUGCGUCAAGAGGAGCUUCGCAAGCUUUUCCAAUGUCCCGCGAUCCCGGCUUUUCUACAGAUUUUACAUUUUUUUCUUGACGAAAAUCAACGCUAAUCGUGGAUUGAAGAAGAAAUUUCGUGAUGUAAACGAAUCACCAAAACGUUCCAAGACGAAUCGAAGUCGUUCGAACUGAGUGCAGCUCGCCUAAGGUCACUGGAAUCGUACGAAUCGCCGCAUUCCAACUGGGAUAAACGCGUUUAAGUUGGUUCCAAACCAACACAGUUUGACAACAGGAGCGUUUUAGUUGAGCUGAAACGUGAUUGGGGUUGUGGGAACUGAGUCUAAUUCAUCUUGACCUCAUCCAAUCGAGUCAAACUCUGAAUUCUUUCGGUGUUGAGAAGGUUCACUACGAACUCUACGCAAGUUGAUACCGAACUUUGUACGUAGUCGAUUGUCGAUGAGAAGUUUUAGGAAUUGAGAUAAAAUGUGAAGGUUUUUCAUCUUGACAAGGAGCUUGGUCCAGCUCUGUAAAUAUGCAAAGAAACUCCAGCGGUUUUGUGUUUCACCAUUGGAAGAUAAUAACGUCGGAUAAACGUAUCGGCAUCGUCGAGAACUAACCAGAACUCGUAUAAAUGCGUUUCAGUAGUCGGAACCGUCACGAAGAUUCGCUGCCUUUGGUGACUACGUGACCAAACAUAAGUCCAGUUUUUGCAAGCGAAGAAUUCGGGAAUGAUCGGGUCAAUUGUUACCCGCUCUUGCUCUUCCCGUAUCGCUCCGAUUUAGUAUGAGCCUCACAACAACCGGUUGAUCAUUGUGGAAUUUGUAGCUCAAUUAACGGUGGCUUCCAUUGACCAUCCCGGGAGUUAAAACAGUACAAACACACCGGACAUGGAUCUUGUAAACGAUAAGACACCAAAAAAAUCGCCACAUUCCUCCUCAAGGGCUGUUGAAAAAUCUAUUCGAAGAUUUUACGAUUGCAGCGGCCAUCAGAGGGGGCUCGCUCGGACAUUUAUUUUUCUUUCACCCUGACCAACCAAUAAGAACGUUUGAGAGUGAGAAAAAAUAUCACCAGUUCUCAUUGCACCGGACACGUAGACAUGCAGGGGGACGUUUCCUGCUUCGUUGAAGUAAAUCAUUGCGAGAGGCAAAGAAGUUUUCUCGGCAAAUAAGCUCCGCACUUCGAUCGAGUGCUUCGAAGAAUCGUUCGCGUGCCAAAAAUGCUGUCGCAGUUCCCUCGACCGUUGAGUGAAAGUUGUCCAGGGCGUUGGCACGAAAGAAAAAAUGGUCUUCGAUCGUUAUUCGUGUGCCGGAUCACGAUUUUGAAUACUCGGAAAAAUGAAGAACCUCUGUACGAGGGUUCCCCAAAGAUUUCCCGCCAUCCGUAAUAUUCACCUCGACAAAACAGUUCAGGUUCAUAAAACCUGGACGACUGAAGUUCAAUAAACCCGAAUAAAAAGACCUCGAAGAUUUGAUAAACAUCAUCAAA
This is a long non-coding RNA of Venturia canescens, 5197 nucleotides long. RefSeq lists it as uncharacterized. The record is from RefSeq and is a predicted model, not a curated record. NCBI's taxonomy places the organism in Eukaryota, Metazoa, Arthropoda, Insecta, Hymenoptera, Ichneumonidae. The transcript is spliced from 12 exons.